This 662-nucleotide ribosomal RNA is filed under the name Bacillus subtilis. RNAcentral describes it as "bacterial SSU rRNA". It matches the Rfam family "Bacterial small subunit ribosomal RNA", at positions 746 to 1407 of the family's 1533-position model. Lineage: Bacteria; Bacillati; Bacillota; Bacilli; Caryophanales; Bacillaceae. The record is from RNAcentral.
AGGAGGCGAGAAAGCGGGGGAGAGCAAACAGGAUUAGAUACCGUGGUACUCCACGCCGUAAACGAUGAGUGAUAAGUGUUAGAGGGUCUCCGCCUUUUAGUGCAGAAGUUAACGCAUUAAGCACUCCGCGGGGGGAGUACGGCCGCAAGGCUGAAACUCAAAGGAAUUGAGGGGGGCCCGCACAAGCGGUGGAGCAUGUGGUUUAAUUAGAAGCAACGCGAAGAACCUUACCAGGUCUUGACAUCUUCUGAAAACCCUAGAGAUAGGGUUUCUCUUUGGGGAGCAGAGUGACAGGUGGUGCAUGGUUGUCGUCAGCUCGUGUCGUGAGAUGUUGGGUUAAGUCCCGCAACGAGCGCAACCCUUGAUUUUAGUUGCCAUCAUUAAGUUGGGCACUCUAAGGUGACUGCCGGUGACAAACCGGAGGAAGGUGGGGAUGACGUCAAAUCAUCAUGCCCCUUAUGACCUGGGCUACACACGUGCUACAAUGGACGGUACAAAGAGCUGCAAGACCGCGAGGUGGAGCUAAUCUCAUAAAACCGUUUUCAGUUCGGAUUGUAGGCUGCAAUUCGCCUACAUGAAGCGGGAAUCGCUAGUAAUCGCGGAUCACCAUGCCGCGGUGAAUACGUUCCCGGCCCUUGUACACACCGCCCGUCACACCACGA